RNAcentral lists this transfer RNA (73 nucleotides) under Pelobates cultripes (western spadefoot toad). RNAcentral describes it as "tRNA.Val". It matches the Rfam family "tRNA". From Rfam's summary of the family: Transfer RNA (tRNA) molecules are approximately 80 nucleotides in length. Their secondary structure includes four short double-helical elements and three loops (D, anti-codon, and T loops). Further hydrogen bonds mediate the characteristic L-shaped molecular structure. tRNAs have two regions of fundamental functional importance: the anti-codon, which is responsible for specific mRNA codon recognition, and the 3' end, to which the tRNAs corresponding amino acid is attached (by aminoacyl-tRNA synthetases). tRNAs cope with the degeneracy of the genetic code in two manners: having more than one tRNA (with a specific anti-codon) for a particular amino acid; and 'wobble' base-pairing, i.e. permitting non-standard base-pairing at the 3rd anti-codon position. The record is from RNAcentral. Lineage: Eukaryota; Metazoa; Chordata; Amphibia; Anura; Pelobatidae.
GGUUUCAUAGUGUAGUGGUUAUCAUGUCUGCUUUACACGCAGAAGGUCCUUGGUUUUAUCCCCGGUGAAACCA